This 492-nucleotide ribosomal RNA is filed under the name uncultured bacterium. RNAcentral's name for it is "partial 16S ribosomal RNA". It matches the Rfam family "Bacterial small subunit ribosomal RNA", at positions 29 to 507 of the family's 1533-position model. The record is from RNAcentral.
AGUGAACGCUGGCGGUAGGCCUAACACAUGCAAGUCGAACGGCAGCACAGUAAGAGCUUGCUCUUACGGGUGGCGAGUGGCGGACGGGUGAGGAAUACAUCGGAAUCUACUUUUUCGUGGGGGAUAACGUAGGGAAACUUACGCUAAUACCGCAUACGACCUACGGGUGAAAGCAGGGGAUCUUCGGACCUUGCGCGAUUGAAUGAGCCGAUGUCGGAUUAGCUAGUUGGCGGGGCAAAGGCCCACCAAGGCGACGAUCCGUGGCUGGUCUGAGAGGAUGAUCAGCCACACUGGAACUGAGACACGGUCCAGACUCCUACGGGAGGCAGCAGUGGGGAAUAUUGGACAAUGGGCGCAAGCCUGAUCCAGCCAUACCGCGUGGGUGAAGAAGGCCUUCGGGUUGUAAAGCCCUUUUGUUGGGAAAGAAAAGCAGCAGGUUAAUACCCCGCUGUUCUGACGGUACCCAAAGAAUAAGCACCGGCUAACUUCGUG